Molecule: ribosomal RNA, 610 nt
Filed under: Limnobacter sp.
Lineage: Bacteria; Pseudomonadati; Pseudomonadota; Betaproteobacteria; Burkholderiales; Burkholderiaceae
Description: bacterial SSU rRNA
Rfam family: Bacterial small subunit ribosomal RNA
Source: RNAcentral
GGAUUGGCGGCUGCUUAACAUGCAGUCGAACGGUAACAGGGAGCUUGCUCCGCUGACGAGUGGCGAACGGGUGAGUAAUACAUCGGAACGUGCCCAGUAAUGGGGGAUAGCUCGGCGAAAGCCGGAUUAAUACCGCAUACGCCCUGAGGGGGAAAGUGGGGGACCGCAAGGCCUCACGUUAUUGGAGCGGCCGAUGGCUGAUUAGCUAGUUGGUAGGGUAAAGGCCUACCAAGGCGACGAUCAGUAGCUGGUCUGAGAGGACGAUCAGCCACACUGGGACUGAGACACGGCCCAGACUCCUACGGGAGGCAGCAGUGGGGAAUUUUGGACAAUGGGGGAAACCCUGAUCCAGCAAUGCCGCGUGUGCGAAGAAGGCCUUCGGGUUGUAAAGCACUUUUGUCAGGGAAGAAAUCCUUUGGGCUAAUACCCUAGGGGGAUGACGGUACCUGAAGAAUAAGCACCGGCUAACUACGUGCCAGCAGCCGCGGUAAUACGUAGGGUGCAAGCGUUAAUCGGAAUUACUGGGCGUAAAGCGUGCGCAGGCGGUUGUGUAAGACAGGUGUGAAAUCCCCGGGCUUAACCUGGGAAUUGCAUUUGUGACUGCACGACU